This is a long non-coding RNA of Rhagoletis pomonella (apple maggot), 558 nucleotides long. RefSeq lists it as uncharacterized. NCBI's taxonomy places the organism in Eukaryota, Metazoa, Arthropoda, Insecta, Diptera, Tephritidae. The transcript is spliced from 3 exons. The record is from RefSeq and is a predicted model, not a curated record.
UCUGUUUCCUUUUUUACUUUGACAUUCGCCUGCGUUCUCACUAAAUUGCGUAAAAUUUUCGGAACUUUUAGUUGCGUUGCCCCGAAUAAAGACUAAAGAGCAUUCAAAAAGCGCCUUGCUGCUGUUCCUGCUGCAACGUACCACCAAAUUGGUUUGUAAUUCAACAUUGCGAUUUCUCUACAUUGUGCUGAUCCUGCUGCGUUGUGUCACCUUAUUGUGAGGUGAUUCAACAACCGAGUUUGAAGGCUGUUCCUGCUGCAUUGUGCCACCCUAUUGUAACGUAAUUUGAACUUCUGAGCUGUAAACUUCUUUCGUGGUAAGAUUUUACAUAAAGUAGAUCUUUUGUUAAAAUGUAAACAUGUACACGUUCUGAGAUUUUGUAGAAUAAAGAAUGAAACAUACAUAAGUGGCAAACUAUUUCACUUUGAAAUCGGGGAGCUAUGGUAUUAACCGAUACUGUAUAUAAAUACACAAAACAAACAAACAUUUUAUUUGUCACGUAGAAAGAAUCGUUUUAUAGCUUGGUGAUUUUUAGUCUACAGUUGUAUACUAGUUGUU